GACGUAGGGUGCGAGCGUUGUCCGGAAUUAUUGGGCGUAAAGGGCUCGUAGGCGAUUUGUCGCGUCGGGAGUGAAAACACCGGGCUUAACUCGGUGCUUGCUUUCGAUACGGGCAGACUAGAGGUAUGCAGGGGAGAACGGAAUUCCUGGUGUAGCGGUGAAAUGCGCAGAUAUCAGGAGGAACACCGGUGGCGAAGGCGGUUCUCUGGGCAUUACCUGACGCUGAGGAGCGAAAGUGUGGGGAGCGAACAGG
This 253-nucleotide ribosomal RNA is filed under the name uncultured bacterium. Its description in RNAcentral is "partial 16S ribosomal RNA". It matches the Rfam family "Bacterial small subunit ribosomal RNA", at positions 524 to 776 of the family's 1533-position model. The record is from RNAcentral.